AACAGAUUUCAGUCUGUUUACAGAGUAGGUAGGGCAUGGUCAUCAACAAUGGAAGCUUCCCCACAUUGCCCUACCAAUGUGUCUCAGCCUUGACUUUGGGACUUAUAGAAUACAAACCUGGAGAUAUGUU
This is an unclassified non-coding RNA of Chelonoidis abingdonii (Abingdon island giant tortoise), 130 nucleotides long. The record is from Ensembl. Lineage: Eukaryota; Metazoa; Chordata; Testudines; Testudinidae.